UAAGGAAUAUUGGUCAAUGGAGGCAACUCUGAACCAGCCAUGCCGCGUGCAGGAAGACGGCCCUCCGGGUUGUAAACUGCUUUUAUUCGGGAAUAAACCUGCUUACGUGUAAGUAGCUGAAUGUACCGAAGGAAUAAGGAUCGGCUAACUCCGUGCCAGCAGCCGCGGUAAUACGGAGGAUCCAAGCGUUAUCCGGAUUUAUUGGGUUUAAAGGGUGCGUAGGCGGCUUAUUAAGUCAGGGGUGAAAGACGGUGGCUCAACCAUCGCAGUGCCCUUGAUAAUGAUGAGCUUGAAUAAACUAGAGGUAGGCGGAAUGUGACAAGUAGCGGUGAAGUGCAUAGAUAUGUAACAGAACAUCGAUUGCGAAGACAGAUUAAUAUGGUUUUAUUGACGCUGAGGAACGAAGGCGUGGGGAUCAAACA
This 422-nucleotide ribosomal RNA is filed under the name uncultured bacterium. RNAcentral's name for it is "bacterial SSU rRNA". It matches the Rfam family "Bacterial small subunit ribosomal RNA", at positions 355 to 774 of the family's 1533-position model. The record is from RNAcentral.